GUCCACGACCCGCACGCAUGAACAAGCGAGGCCUCCAGGGUGCCCUUGAGCGAGAACCACUCGCACGCAUGACUCGCACAACAUAUCCCAUCGCUGCCGCCCUCGCACUCACAUCAAGCCACCGCUGAUCCCUGUGCUACCUCGAUGGGAGCCAUCGCAAACCCAUCCCUUCGCCGCCGCCCUGCGCCACGAAAGUUUCCACCAGCACCGCGACGGGCGUGGCCUCCACACGCGCCGUCACCGCCCCUCCAGAUUUGGUCGUCGUCAAGGGCGUAUCCAUCCAACAGCGUCACCUCCCCUCCAGAUCCGACCAUUGUCAAGGCUGUAUCCAUCCAGCAGUGCGCCGUCAUCCCAAUCAUCACCGUCCACGGCGUCAUCGCCCAGGCCCAGUCUGGGGCCGGCAAGACGUCCAUGAUCUCCCUCUUUGUCUGCCAGGUUAUCGAGACCAACGUCCACGAGGUGUAGGCAUUAGCGACGACAUGGACAGGGGCUUCACUGACAGGAAGAACUUGCUCAUGGACCGCAGGACCAUGGCUCCCAAGAUCGACGACCUCAGGUAUCAGCCGUGCCAUUAGGGUUCCUCUCAAGAAUUACACACAAGUUUCUUACUCGAGGUACCGACCCUGAGGUCCUUCUUGGUGCCACAUGUGAUUUGUGGGCUGCACUUUUGAAUUUGGUAUGAUGAACUGGACUUUGUAAAUGAGCACAUACACACACUGAACUCCAGAUAAAUGGCAGCUGAAUUUCAAGUACAGGGGACUCUUCUGCCCGAUCACAGUUUUCACACAUUAAUAACUAUAUGGCUCCAUCAGCGUGAAUUCAUUUUUCGGGGGAAAAUUUAAGUGCACAUAGCUGCAAAGAUGUGAAGACCCAUAUCGGUCUUGUUUGAUAUUCUUUGAGUUGGUUUAGAUAGAGAUAAGUGACCUCUUUCAUGUCAAGUGCAUGCGCCAUUUACUAUGCUCAUAACUUGUUCUUUUGCUUUUUCUUGGAUGCAUGCUUGCAUCCAAUUCAGAUUUUCCAUGUGCACUUGAGAACUAAUCAUGCUUGUAGAGAGGAGAAA
This is a long non-coding RNA of Triticum urartu, 1060 nucleotides long. RefSeq lists it as uncharacterized. Lineage: Eukaryota; Viridiplantae; Streptophyta; Magnoliopsida; Poales; Poaceae. The record is from RefSeq and is a predicted model, not a curated record.